This 440-nucleotide ribosomal RNA is filed under the name uncultured bacterium. Its description in RNAcentral is "partial 16S ribosomal RNA". It matches the Rfam family "Bacterial small subunit ribosomal RNA", at positions 338 to 795 of the family's 1533-position model. The record is from RNAcentral.
CCUACGGGAGGCAGCAGUGGGGAAUAUUUCACAAUGGGGGAAACCCUGAUGCUGCGACGCCGCGUGAGUGAAGAAGUAUUUCGGUAUGUUAAGCUCUAUCAGUAGGGAAGAAAAUGACGGUACCUGUUUAAGAAGCCCCGGCUAACUACGUGCCAGCAGCCGCGGUAAUACGUAGGGGGCAAGCGUUAUCCGGAUUUACUGGGUGUAAAGGGAGCGUAGACGGCAGCACAAGUCUGGAGUGAAAUGCCGGGGCUGAACCCCGGAACUGCUUUGGAAACUGUGCAGCUAGAGUGCAGGAGAGGUAAGUGGAAUGCCUAGUGUAGCAGUGAAAUGCGUAGAUAUUAGGAGGAACACCAGUGGCGAAGGCGGGUUACUGGACUGUAACUGACGUUGAGGCUCGAAAGCGUGGGGAGCGAACAGGAUUAGAUACCCCUGUAGUC